This 342-nucleotide unclassified non-coding RNA is filed under the name soil metagenome. RNAcentral's name for it is "partial contains 5.8S ribosomal RNA, internal transcribed spacer 2, and large subunit ribosomal RNA". The stretch from base 1 to 120 matches the Rfam family "5.8S ribosomal RNA", at positions 35 to 154 of the family's 154-position model. The record is from RNAcentral.
GAUGAAGAACGUAGCGAAAUGCGAUAAGUAGUGUGAAUUGCAGAAUUCAGUGAAUCAUCGAAUCUUUGAACGCACAUUGCGGCCAAAGGUAUUCCUUUGGCCAUGCCUGUUCGAGCGUCAUUUACACCCUCAAGCCUAGCUUGGUGUUGGGCGCCUGUCCCGCCGUUUUCGCGCGCGGACUCGCCUCAAAGUCAUUGGCGGCGGUCGUGCCGGCCCCCUCGCGCAGCACAUUUGCGCUUCUCGGAGGCCCGGCGGAUCCGCGCUCCAGCAAGACCUUUCACGACUUGACCUCGGAUCAGGUAGGGAUACCCGCUGAACUUAAGCAUAUCAAUAAGCGGAGGA